Molecule: long non-coding RNA, 1556 nt
Organism: Rhinopithecus roxellana (golden snub-nosed monkey)
Lineage: Eukaryota; Metazoa; Chordata; Mammalia; Primates; Cercopithecidae
Exons: 3
Source: RefSeq, a predicted model, not a curated record
GGAGAACUGCUGUAGCUUCCUAAAUAAGGCUUUUGAAAGAGCCAGUGGUUUGUCAGAAAAACACGUGACUAGAAUCCCUCUUUAUUGGCAACAGUACCUUGGGCAAGUCAUUUCAAUUCUUUGAACUUUGCUUCCUUCUCCUUAAAAAAAGUUCUACACCUGUCUGCCUUUCCCAUAGGCUGUGGUGAAGUCAAUUGAGACAGUUCCUGUGGAAGGACUUCGAAGCAGCAAAGGCAUAUGAGAAUGUCAGAUGUUAAAAGUAGUUCAGAGCAUGUGGCUAUCAUUGAGCCCUAUCAUUCCUGAAAUAUAGUUACCAAAAGUGAAGUUUUAAAAGGAAGACUUUUCUUGAUAAUUUUACAAAUAUUAUCUUGGUUCUCCUAAGAUUUCUAAAUAAUCAACGAAAAGAGAAUAAGGAAACCUCUUAUGACCUAGAUCUUUUGAGCUUAUAUUUGAGUAAGGGAAACAAUGAAGAAACAAGAUAAUUUCAAGUAGAAGCCCUAUAAAAAUAUAAUAAUAUGAGAGAAAAUGAUGGUGAUUCACAAUUACAUGACCUAAGGCGGGAAGAUGGAAUUUGAGCUGAGAUCUGAAUGAGAGCCACCAUUUGGAAUGUACAGAGAGAGGAUGUGGAAAUCUUACGGUGCAAAUAAAAGGAAGAAAAGAAAAAAGUAUGAAGAAUAUUGUGGACAGAAUAUUGUGGAAGGCAGGAUCAAGCUAGGCAGAUUCAGUGAAGAGUGGGAGCAUCAUCUUCCAGCUACCUAUUGAGCCCCUGUGCUGUACCAGGCCACAUGUGAGGUGCCACGUCUUCCAUGGUAAAGAAGACAGAUAUGACUCCUGCCCUAUGGGAGCACGCAGCUACAAGACUGUGUGUACCACAAACAUAACCCUUCCAACUUUACCACUGGGUAAGUGAUGCAAUUUGAAGAAUAGAGAAUUCAAUAUAUCAAAGUCAACAUAUGAAAAAUCUCUCUCACCCACCUACGCCCACAAUGAAAAAGCCCUCUGUGAUUCCAUCCAACCCUUUUGCGCAGAGGCCAGACCCAGGAUUCAGUGUCCAGCUUGGGCAUGCAUAGCCUGUGCCAGCAUGGGCACAGCAGAGGUCUGCACACAUGGGAAGAUAGAUCAAAGGCCUCCUGCCAUUUUUUCUCUCCAGAGUGUUCCAGCAAGAACAUCCCCUUCUAGCUAUUUCACACAUGGACAGCCGAGAAAUAGACAGUCAUUUACAGAGCAUUUUUCAUUUGUGCACUUUCACUCGUUAUUUCUUCCCCAGUACCUAAUGGGGGCUGCAGCGUGUACUCUGUUUGUGGUUAAAUUCUGCUGCCAGAAGUUUCCUCCAGCUCCUGAUGCCCCGAACCCCUCCCUCCAGCAUUCCUGUGGCUCAUCUUGCAAACUGAUUAAAAGGUGCUUUGUUGCAAUCUGAUCUUUCAGGACACAUACUGCUAAAAAGCUUUUGAAAUUUUAGUUAAAGCAAAAACAAAAACAAAAAAAUAAGCCUAAACAUCCCCUGAGGGGAAAAUAAUGAAGGAGCUCUUAAGCACUAUUGCAGAUAAUGCUUAAUU